RNAcentral lists this small nuclear RNA (139 nucleotides) under Leptobrachium leishanense (Leishan spiny toad). RNAcentral's name for it is "U4 spliceosomal RNA (ENSLLEG00000022757.1)". It matches the Rfam family "U4 spliceosomal RNA". From Rfam's summary of the family: U4 small nuclear RNA (U4 snRNA) is a component of the major U2-dependent spliceosome. The structure of U4 snRNA from yeast and human has been reported. U4 snRNA presents a k-turn RNA motif in the 5p-SL related to recognition of Snu13 protein. Lineage: Eukaryota; Metazoa; Chordata; Amphibia; Anura; Megophryidae. The record is from Rfam by way of RNAcentral.
AGCUUUGCGCAGUGGCAGUAUCGUAGCCAAUGAGGUUUAUCCGAGGCGCGAUUAUUGCUAAUUGAAAACUUUUCCCAAUACCCCACCGUGACGGAUUGAAAUAUAGCCGGCACCGGCAAUUUGACAGUCUCUACAGAGA